UUUUUUCAUUAUUUUGGCCCUCUAUUUAAAUGGGCCUUCUUUUUUCUUCGAUCGAAUUGAAUUGACUUGAGAGAGAGAUCAGUGAGCUCAGUUGAGGGGCAGAGAGAGUAUGAGCCAUCGGGAAGCCCUCACACUGGGAAAUUAAUGGGGGUGUGAGGCGGUAACCACCGCAGGUGUGGGUGGCAUCUGAAACCGAUGGAACCAGGAAAACCGAGGGACUUCAUCAGUUCACCAUGGGACCCAGCCACAUUAAUUGGUAAGGUUCUCGCUCCUGCUUCAACCGUUAAUUUUCUAAAUUCCAUCAAGCAUUUCUGAUGCUAAGUGAGGUUAAUUAUAGGAUUUAAAGAGCUUCACCUGAAUGCAGUAAACGAGAGGAGACAGCUUCCACCCAUUACCCCUUAGUAAGCUUAAGGAUGCAUUAAAUCUAUUUUCCAUUCAAUUUAUAUUAAUUAGUUUGUCCUAAGAGUAGUUUGAACAUAUUAGAACACGUAAGUAGCUGAACUAACCCUAAAAUCAACAUGUGCAUACAAGGAAAUUGCAUGAAACUCUCGGGUUCAGUAAUAACCCGAUAACACAUAGUACCAUGUAGGUUUUGUUUAGAUUUUUAGAACAACUUUUGGGGGCUUAAAACGAAGUUCGUUCAUUAAGGAAUCUGUAAAUAUAAUUAGUACCCAUCACAAAGCCUUCAUAUCAUUUUUUGUUAAGUUUCUAGCUAGAUCUUCAUGAAACUGCAUGGAUUUAAACAGGUGAAGAAAAGUUGGUUUGAAAAACUCUCUCCGAUCACUACCCAGGCCGUUAGAACAGUCAAGAUAGGUCCGGAAAAAUGGAUUUUUCUGUAAUUGUUUCAUUUUUCUUACGUAUAUGCUUGCUGGGUUGUUUUGAAUGUUUGGCUGCAUUGUUUUGUCUCUGAUUUCAUGAAAAAAAGAGUAUAUGUAUAUGGAUUAAAUUAACUAUGAUAGACUGAUAGUAAAUGGGAAAAUAAGAAAAUUAAAUGAUGAUUAUAAAUCGUGCAUGUGGUUAAGGGUGAAUGUGGAGUUAAUUUAGAAACAUUAUAAAUUAAUAAGUAAAUAAAAUUAAGAAGCAAAAUGAGAAAUAAAUUAAAAUAACUAUAAACAAAUAGGGAAGGGAUUUAUAAAAGAAAUAAAUUAAAUAGAAAUAUAAUGGAAUAAAGAAUAAUAAUAAUAGUAAUAAUAAUAAUAACAAUAAUAAUAAUAACAACAACAAUAAUAAUAAUACUAAAAAUGAUAAUAAAUGUAAUAA
This 1260-nucleotide long non-coding RNA is filed under the name Carica papaya (papaya). Its description in RNAcentral is "long non-coding RNA (CPAP_LNC014860)". The record is from RNAcentral. Lineage: Eukaryota; Viridiplantae; Streptophyta; Magnoliopsida; Brassicales; Caricaceae.